This 809-nucleotide non-coding RNA is filed under the name Cornitermes pugnax. The record is from RNAcentral. Lineage: Eukaryota; Metazoa; Arthropoda; Insecta; Blattodea; Termitidae.
AAGUUUUAUUCUUGCUUUAUUUGUUCAGUAUGUGCUUGUUUUAUAUGUAAGUUUGUGCGUGAGUUUAUGUUGAGGAUUUAAAUAGUCUUUGCUUUAUAUUGUUAAUUAAUUCUCAUUAGUUAUUAUUGGUUGAUCAAGUAUUCUUGUAAUUAGCAAUGCAUAUAGUUUCGGUUAAAUUUUGUGCCAGCAGCCGCGGUUAUACCUUGGAAGCGUUUGAAUGUGUUCGGCAUAAGGUAGUUGUAUUAAUUAAUUUUAUUGAUUUAAUUUUUAUUAUUGUUAGGUGGAAUUUUUAUUGUUGUUAAUUUCUUUUAUUUAUUUGGAGACUAUGAAAUUCCUUUAUUAAACUAGGAUUAGAUACCCUAUUAUUUUGGAAUGUUAAUUAUUUUAUGUGCUUGAGUAGUAUUAGUUAUGUUCUUGAAACUUAAAGAAUUUGGCGGUAUCUCAUUCCGUCCAGAGGAAUCUGUCUCGUUAUCGAUAGUCCACGUUGGACCUUACUUAGUUGAUUUGGUUUGUAUACCGCCGUUUAUUGAUUAUCUUUUUAGAGUUUAUUAAUUUUCUAGUUUCUUUAUUUUGAUUUAUUUCAGGUCAAGGUGCAGCUUGUUUCUAAGUGAAUGAUGGAUUACAUUGUUAUUUGUUUAUGGAUUAUUUGGUUUAAAUAUUGAUAUGAAAUUGGAUUUGGUUGUAAUUAUUUGUAGACUGUUAUUAUGAUAAAAGGUUCUGAGAUAUGCACACAUCGCCCGUCGCUCUCGUUUAUUGUUAAUGAGAUAAGUCGUAACAAAGUGGUUGUACCGGAAGGUGUAGCUGGAUUG